This 619-nucleotide ribosomal RNA is filed under the name Filobasidium magnum. RNAcentral describes it as "partial large subunit ribosomal RNA". It matches the Rfam family "Eukaryotic large subunit ribosomal RNA", at positions 49 to 654 of the family's 3401-position model. Lineage: Eukaryota; Fungi; Basidiomycota; Tremellomycetes; Filobasidiales; Filobasidiaceae. The record is from RNAcentral.
AGCGGAGGAAAAGAAACUAACAAGGAUUCCCCUAGUAACGGCGAGUGAAGCGGGAAGAGCUCAAAUUUGAAAUCUGGUGGCCUCAGGUCAUCCGAGUUGUAAUCUAUAGAAGUGUUUUCCGUGCUGGCUCAUGUACAAGUCCCUUGGAACAGGGCGUCAUAGAGGGUGAGAAUCCCGUCCUUGACAUGAACUACCAGUGCUCUGUGAUACAUUUUCAACGAGUCGAGUUGUUUGGGAAUGCAGCUCAAAAUGGGUGGUAAAUUCCAUCUAAAGCUAAAUAUUGGCGAGAGACCGAUAGCGAACAAGUACCGUGAGGGAAAGAUGAAAAGCACUUUGGAAAGAGAGUUAAACAGUAUGUGAAAUUGUUGAAAGGGAAACGAUUGAAGUCAGUCGUGCUCUUUGGAUUCAGCCGGUUCUGCCGGUGUACUUCCUUUGAGUGGGGUCAACAUCAGUUUUGAUCGCUGGAUAAAGGCUGGAGGAACGUAGUACCCUCGGGUAAACUUAUAGCCUCCUGUCACAUACAGUGGUUGGGACUGAGGAACGCAGCACGCCUUUAUGGCCGGGAUUCGUCCACGUACGUGCUUAGGAUGUUGACAUAAUGGCUUUAAACGACCCGCUG